RNAcentral lists this transfer RNA (68 nucleotides) under Trigonopoma sp. BIF8638. Its description in RNAcentral is "tRNA-Ser". Lineage: Eukaryota; Metazoa; Chordata; Actinopteri; Cypriniformes; Danionidae. The record is from RNAcentral.
GAGAAAGAAAGAAAAGAAUAAGUCCUGCUAAGACCUAUUAACCAUAGUUAAACUCCGUGGCUCUCUCA